GAUGAAGAACGUAGCGAAAUGCGAUAAGUAAUGUGAAUUGCAGAAUUCAGUGAAUCAUCGAAUCUUUGAACGCACAUUGCGCCCGCCAGUAUUCUGGCGGGCAUGCCUGUUCGAGCGUCAUUUCAACCAUCAAGCCCCCGGCUUGUGUUGGGGACCUGCGGCUGCCGCAGGCCCUGAAAACCAGUGGCGGGCUCGCUAGUCACUCCGAGCGUAGUAAUACAUCUCGCUCAGGGCGUGCUGCGGGUUCCGGCCGUUAAAAGCCUUAUUUACCCAAGGUUGACCUCGGAUCAGGUAGGAAGACCCGCUGAACUUAAGCAUAUCAAUAAGCGGAGG
Molecule: unclassified non-coding RNA, 333 nt
Filed under: soil metagenome
Description: partial contains 5.8S ribosomal RNA, internal transcribed spacer 2, and large subunit ribosomal RNA
Rfam family: 5.8S ribosomal RNA (bases 1-120)
Source: RNAcentral